AACGCGAAGAACCUUACCUGGGUUAAAUCCACCGGAACCUUGCAGAGAUGUAGGGGUGCCCUUCGGGGAGCCGGUGAGAAGGUGCUGCAUGGCUGUCGUCAGCUCGUGUCGUGAGAUGUUGGGUUAAGUCCCGCAACGAGCGCAACCCUUGUCGUUAGUUGCUAACAGGUCAUGCUGAGCACUCUAGCGAGACUGCCGACGUUAAGUCGGAGGAAGGUGGGGAUGACGUCAAGUCCUCAUGGCCCUCAUGCCCAGGGCUACACACGUGCUACAAUGGCCGGUACAAAGGGUUGCAAGCUCGCAAGAGUAAGCUAAUCCCAAAAAACCGGUCUCAGUUCGGAUUGGAGUCUGCAACUCGACUCCAUGAAGUUGGAAUCGCUAGUAAUCGCGGAUCAGCACGCCGCGGUGAAUACGUUCCCGGGCCUUGUACACACCGAGUAUA
RNAcentral lists this ribosomal RNA (442 nucleotides) under uncultured bacterium. RNAcentral describes it as "bacterial SSU rRNA". It matches the Rfam family "Bacterial small subunit ribosomal RNA", at positions 958 to 1398 of the family's 1533-position model. The record is from RNAcentral.